This 72-nucleotide transfer RNA is filed under the name Spumella sp. NIES-1846. RNAcentral's name for it is "tRNA-Gln". It matches the Rfam family "tRNA". From Rfam's summary of the family: Transfer RNA (tRNA) molecules are approximately 80 nucleotides in length. Their secondary structure includes four short double-helical elements and three loops (D, anti-codon, and T loops). Lineage: Eukaryota; Chrysophyceae; Chromulinales; Chromulinaceae. The record is from RNAcentral.
UGGAAUAUAGCCAAAUGGUAAGGCAAUGGACUUUGACUUCAUGAUAUGUAGGUUCAAUUCCUACUAUUCCAG